This is a long non-coding RNA of Haplochromis burtoni (Burton's mouthbrooder), 487 nucleotides long. RefSeq lists it as uncharacterized. NCBI's taxonomy places the organism in Eukaryota, Metazoa, Chordata, Actinopteri, Cichliformes, Cichlidae. The transcript has 3 exons. The record is from RefSeq and is a predicted model, not a curated record.
UCUUCUAAUACAACAGACAUUCAGGCACUAAAGUUAAACAUAUCCAACAACCUGGCAAAAUUAUACCCUGUAAUAUUUGAGGCCUCGCGUCCCCUGACAUUUUCGCCAAAUGAUGGAUUUUAUGAGCAAACAGUGACUGUAACAUGUGGCCCUCCACCAGUGGAUCUCAAUUUUGGCACUGUCUCAGCAGCAGAGUGGAGACGUAAUAUGGUGCUCAUAUCUGAAGAUGGAGAACACAGAAUUAAUCCAAGUGGGGAUGGAAAAUCAACCUUAACUGUGUUAAGGUUUAUUAGCGCUGACGAUGGAGUUUAUGAAUGUCGGCUCAUGCGCACAGACGACAAAGCAUUUUUUCGUCAGAGAUCUGCAACAUCAUUCAGUCUGAAAACAAAACCCACAAUCACAGUCUCACCAAUCAGACAGUAUGUGAAAUGUCCUGGAGGAAGUGUGGCUCUGAAUUGCAGUGUGAGUGCUGGGUAUCAGGUCGAGU